AGGCAGNAGUGGGGAAUCUUGCGCAAUGGGCGAAAGCCUGACGCAGCGACGCCGCGUGGGGGAUGAAGGCCUUCGGGUUGUAAACCCCUUUCAGCGGGGACGAAGCCUGUUUUGCAGGUGACGGUACCCGCAGAAGAAGCACCGGCUAACUACGUGCCAGCAGNCGCGGUAAU
This 173-nucleotide ribosomal RNA is filed under the name uncultured bacterium. Its description in RNAcentral is "partial 16S ribosomal RNA". It matches the Rfam family "Bacterial small subunit ribosomal RNA", at positions 346 to 524 of the family's 1533-position model. The record is from RNAcentral.